RNAcentral lists this ribosomal RNA (774 nucleotides) under uncultured Neocallimastigales. Its description in RNAcentral is "partial large subunit ribosomal RNA". It matches the Rfam family "Eukaryotic large subunit ribosomal RNA", at positions 20 to 614 of the family's 3401-position model. The record is from RNAcentral. Lineage: Eukaryota; Fungi; Neocallimastigomycota; Neocallimastigomycetes; Neocallimastigales.
UACUAGAGUAGCACUCGCAUAUCAAUAAGCGGAGGAAAAGAAACUAACAAGGAUUCCCCUAGUAACGGCGAGUGAAGCGGGAAGAGCUCAAAUUUGAAAUCUUAAAGGGUUUCCCUUUACGAAUUGUAGUUUAAAGAAGUGUUUUCUGUUGAGGUUUUGGUAAAAGUUCUUUGGAAUAGGACAUCAUAGAGGGUGAGAAUCCCGUAUUUGACCUUUACUUUCAACUUUGUGAUACACUUUCAAAGAGUCGGAUUGUUUGGGAAUGCAGUCCAAAAUGGGUGGUAAAUUUCAUCUAAAGCUAAAUAUUGGCGAGAGACCGAUAGCGAACAAGUACCGUGAGGGAAAGAUGAAAAGAACUUUGAAAAGAGAGUUAAACAGUACGUGAAAUUGUCAAAAGGGAAGCGUUUGACACCAGUGUUGUUUUUCUGAAAAUCAAUUAAAGAACUGUUUAUGCUAAGUUGUUUAGACUUUAUCAGCUAACUGUUUAGUUUUGAGCUUUUCUUUAAUGCACUUUUCAGUUAACAAGUCAACAUCAAUUUCUUUUGCUGUAAAAAAGCUUGAGGAAGGUGGCUUGAGAUUCGUCUUAAGUGUUUAUAGCCUCUUGCCUAUGCAGUCGGAGAGAUUGAGGUCUGCAGCGUAGAUCCUUCGGGGCUAAAUGCAUUUGUGCUAAGUUAUAGCAUUUUAUAGACAACUUGUUGACUAUGAUUCGUCUUGUAGCUUACUCGCUUAUGUUAUUUUACCUACGCUUAGGAUGUUGAGUCAUCACACAUCUCU